CGGAGAAGGGUAGGUCAGCCAACUGUUGGAAUAGUUGGUUCAAGCGUGUAGGCGUGCUCUGUAGGCAAAUCCGCAGAGCUUAGCUGAGGCGUGAUAACGAGGUGCCACGUGCACUGAAGUGAUUGAUCCCAUGCUUCCAGGAAAAGCCUCUAAGCUUCAGUUCCAUAUUGACCGUACUGCAAACCGACACAGGUGGGUGGGGUGAGAAUCCUAAGGCGCUUGAGAGAACUCAGGAGAAGGAACUCGGCAAAUUAACACCGUAACUUCGGGAGAAGGUGUGCCCUUGUAGGGUGAAGUCCCUUGCGGAUGGAGCUCGAAAGGGUUGCAGUGAAAAGGUGGCUGCGACUGUUUAUUAAAAACACAGCACUCUGCAAACACGAAAGUGGACGUAUAGGGUGUGACGCCUGCCCGGUGCUGGAAGAUUAAAUGAUGGGGUGCAAGCUCUUGACUGAAGUCCCAGUAAACGGCGGCCGUAACAAUAACGGUCCUAAGGUAGCG
This 498-nucleotide ribosomal RNA is filed under the name uncultured bacterium. RNAcentral's name for it is "bacterial LSU rRNA". It matches the Rfam family "Bacterial large subunit ribosomal RNA", at positions 1473 to 1961 of the family's 2925-position model. The record is from RNAcentral.